Molecule: long non-coding RNA, 2831 nt
Organism: Chinchilla lanigera (long-tailed chinchilla)
Lineage: Eukaryota; Metazoa; Chordata; Mammalia; Rodentia; Chinchillidae
Exons: 5
Source: RefSeq, a predicted model, not a curated record
CACACCAAAAAAAAAAAAAAAAAAAAGGUAGCACAGGAGUGGAGUUGGGGCUCUGGGGGUCUACGCACUUGGAGCCUGAGGGACCCUUGAGCUUCUCCUAGGCGCAGUUGGAAGGUAGUCCCUAAGGUCCCUAAGGGCAACUCACUAUGUCGCCUCGGCUGUUCUUGAACGCACGAUCCUCCUGCCUCAGCCUUCUUCUGUGUGCUGGGAUUGCAGACUAACUCAGACUUACUGAGUCAACUCAGGCAGAAGCUGCCUUGACUCCCUGGUUUCUCUUCUAAUACUGUAUUUCUGUUGGGAGGGAGGGCACUAAGGCAGGCUACAUGGACACGAAAGCCUAGGAUGGGCGAGGUUCUGGGGCCAACUCCGAGGCAGCUCCUGAGUUUGAGGCUGGAAUCAGCCCCGCUGAGAUGCCAUAAAUUCGCCUAAAAUGCCACGUUUCACUGUGGCUCUGGCUAACUCAGUGCUGGGUGGAGCUGCGGGCGUCCUCCUUGGCGCCCCCUAGGGUGACCACAAAUGGAGGAAAAGAAAUAACAGAGUCCAGGCUGUCCCUUGGGACAACCCCUAAGAGAUCCCAAAGACGACAAGCACGAGGCACAUAUGCCGCUUCCCUGUGUUGGGCAUGUGGCGGACAGCGGUCUGUCACAUGACCUUCACCCCCAAAGUCUGGACUGGCAUCAGAAUCCCCCACACAGCUCCUCUGCCUACUCCCAAUGAAUUGGCACUGCCAGGCUACAGGAAAGAUCUUUGCCAUGUCUGUUAUUUUGGAGAUAAUUAACUUGAGGCUCAGGAGGGAAAACAGCUCACUCCAGGUCAUACAACAGGCUGGUGUCUGAACCAAGCUUCCAGAUGUCCAGAGGUCUCUAAGUGUUGGCCUUGCUUUCUUUUUGUCUUCUGAUAAGUCUAGAUCCUAACGCUAUACCUGACACACAGUGGCCCGGAUAGAUUUCUAAGUAAGAGGGGUGAAUAUUAAUACCAAGUUUCUGAACAGACCCAGCUCUGGAGAGAGCUGCUGUCUCUCCUAUUCCUGUUUUCUCAGCGACAUCGAGGUCUGUGGCUUGACUGGUGAGGGCAGAGCUGCUGUGCCGAGGAGGACAUCCCCAGUCGAAGGAGGAGGCUGUUUUCCUAAAUGAUUCCGUCAGGUCACUACUUGCUGGUCCUGGCUUCCCAGAUGGGGAACCCCAAUCCAGGGAGCCGCUCAGCUAAGAUCGCUCCUCAGACAGCCUGCCCUCCCACCUAAGGCCUGCUCCGCGCUGUAGCACCAGCGCUGAGGGGUGCAGGAAUGUAACCCUGGAGAAUUACUGCUCAAAGUGUUGCCUCCGAGGCAAAGAAGUGCCCUUCCGGAAGAAAAUGCACGCCCCUCGGUUCCCUGGUCCCUUUUGGGGAGACUCACCCCAACACCCCUUUCCCUGAGUGUCCUUCAGGACACAGAAGUCCAGUCCACAACUAGCAGGGUGAGAAGGGCCAGGGAAGGGGGUGCAUGGAGAGGGUGAACCCCAACCUAACCCCAGACGGGCUGGACCUAACCCUGUGCGGAGUCUGCAUGUCUCAAAACCGGGUGUGGAAGGGCCCGAGCUCUGUCUUACCUUCCCCACCCGCUUCCAGUGCACCCCACGCCCAGCCUGUGCUCGGUCAGAAGAGUCUGGUGUGGGGGUUGCUCAGACCCAGACUCGGUAAAGGCUGGCGGGUUCCUGGGAUGACUGGGGAGGCGGGGGGUGCACUACCCAAGCCCGGGAGCCUAGUGCCACUUCAGGCUGCCCGGCGCCAGGGUGGAGAAGCAGGAAGGCAUGAGGGGGAUGAGGGGAAAGCCUCACCUUUGCCUUUCAGAGCUCAUCAUUUAUGCAAAGUCUCUUUUUAGAAAACAGUGCCCCUGACUCAGAACCAAGUCUGGAAGGUCUGUCCUCCCGGAACAGGGCACACGACGCCUCUGGCUGCCAGCCAGGGGCCAGUCCCUGCUGCAACUGUGACAGGAUCAGCUUCCCAGGAAAGGAGGAGACUGCCACAGUCCCAUAGGGGGCAAAGAGGAGAUGGGGGGGAGAGAGAGAGAGAGAUUCCCCAAAGACACAGUGAGAUUAUUUCCUGCAGACCUAAAAGGGGUUCCACUGUGAGUCCGCCUCCUAAAAAGCAACAGGCGACAGACAGGCGGACCGGUCAGGGACCGCAUCCGUAAUUUAAGCCAGGGAACCCGAGCGGAUGGAGCUCCGUCCACGUGACCUGGCUCGUUUUCGUGAUGCUGCUGAUUAAUCAGCUCUUUCUGCAGAGGUUCCAGUUCUGCGGGCCUCACGGCGGGCGCCUUCAGAGACGCAGGGUGAAGGAGACAGAGCCACCCCGAAGAAACUGGUUCACCCAGAGGCUGGCUUCUCUAGAACAGAAGAGGCAGAAGCGGGCAGGAGACCUUGUCUGGGUAGUCACUGUAGCGCUUCACACGCCGCCUGCAUUAUCUCGCAGGGAUGACGACUGCUCUCUUACCAAGAACGCACCAUGUGGAUUCUGUUAUGUUUAUUUCACCACAAUUAAAAAAGAACCAUGCUGCGUGGGGGAUGUAGCUCAGUGGUAGAGCACUUGCUUAGUAAGCACAGGCCCUGGUUCAAUCCCGAACAGUGAAAAACAAUCAUCCCUAAUAGGCCAAGAUUUAAACGUUUAAGAAAUAAUGUUGCAAUUAUUUUUGUUAAAAGUGCGCCCAAAGACAUGUUGGAAUUUGACUUGAAUUUUUACCUUCUAGCAAGGUCACACACUGCUAUAUUUUCUAAGGACUAUAUUAUGGGUUUUUAAAUUUUGCUUUUCCCAUGCCGGGCAUGGUGUUGCAUAUCUGUAAUUGCAGCACUUGGGAG